This is a long non-coding RNA of Cuculus canorus (common cuckoo), 4643 nucleotides long. RefSeq lists it as uncharacterized. The record is from RefSeq and is a predicted model, not a curated record. NCBI's taxonomy places the organism in Eukaryota, Metazoa, Chordata, Aves, Cuculiformes, Cuculidae. The transcript is spliced from 3 exons.
ACAUGAGCCAGCAGUGUGCCCAGCUUCAUCUUUGUGGCAUACUUAUCCUGCUACAAGCUAGUCCCCAGGGUUGUGGAUAUCUGCUUUCCAAUCUAAUUGAGAGGUAACUGCUCUGAAGGACACGGUCACCUUUACUGUGGCAGCUACCAGAGGGCUCACAGACUGCUCUUUCUUCUUGGAUUUCUGCAUAUUUUCAAACAGUAAGCCACUGUCAUGGAGCUUAAUCAGAAUUCAUGAAGCUGCUAAACGCAAGGAAGAUUAUUGAUGUUAUUAAAGAUGUAAAAGCACCAGACUGAGAUGAUGGGGCCUCUAGAGGAAGAAGAAGAUGGAAACCUCUGAGGGAAGCUGAAGCAGCUAUUCUGCACUCGGCAAGUUCACUGCCACGAUAGACUAGAAGCAUUUUUUAUCAUAGAUCAGGAGCUUGAAAGCCUGGGCACAACUGCCUCACAUCAAGCAUCUAAAUCCCUUUACCUAUAGUUUCUAAGUACACCUUCCUGGUCAUCAUCAUCAACAUUUUAAUUAACUUUCAAGACUUGAUUCCUUCUUCAUUUAAUCUUGCCUAAUGCCACUGAAAACAAAGGAGUGGCAUAGGUGUAGCUGGAUGGGAAUUUAAAAAUUGUGGAUUACAAAGAUGUUAAAGGCAGCAUAAUUUAAUUUACCCAGCUGGUAAUAACAAGAGAGAAAUUGUCCAGGUGUACUUUGCAUCCUAGCUUUUUUUUGCUGUACUAACUCUUUUUGGAGUAGAAAGUAAUUGUUAUAUUUCUAGAAACCGAUGAGUGAUAAGUGUGAAACUAAAGCCAUGCAAAUGAUUUUUUCAGAUUAGUUGCCAAACUGAAAAAUUAAGUAAAUUUGUUUAGACUGACCUAAAAUAUUUUUUUCCAUUAUUCCUUCUUCAGAAAAACGGAAGAAGUCCUGAUUUGAAUAAGUUGUUCCCUUUGACGGAAAAUUAGCUAUUUUAUUUAGAAGUAGUUAGAACAAGAAGAAUCAAAGUGCUCAGUUCACAGAAAUUUGGAGUCAGCGGUUGCCCUUGCUGAACAGCUGCGUGGUGAUACCACUUCACUUACUGGGAUGUGAGAACCUGGGUUAAAUUUGGAGGGAUCCGGCAGUCUCAGAAGACAGGAUCUUCAGAGCUAAAUCUCCCUCAGUCUCUCCUGCUGCAAUUCUUCCAUCCUGCUUCCAUAUAAAAUGCAUAAUAAAUAAAUAUUAGAUCAGUUGGAGCCCUCAUAUUUUUUUUUCCCCUCUGCCAAAGAAGCAGAUGGAAAGAAGGAUGUCGGAGAACAAGAAACACUGGCUCUUGCCUCCCUUCUCUGGCCAAGAAAGUCAGAAGAGCCUGCAACUGGAUGCCUUCAGAGUGAUGCCUUUAAGCUCCCCUCAACAUUUCCCCUGCCCUGCUUGCUAAAGUGCUGCUCCACCCUGGAUGUUUAAUUACAUACACAAAAUAUACCAGUGCUGGGAGCAGGGACUGGGGACCCCACCCAGGAAAACCUAAUAGCACCACAAUUAGAAGAAUAAUUUAAGCAGGAAAUAAAAAAUCUGAAUUCAAACAAUGUCAUGAAGAGGAAGGUCUUGAAUACAGCACCCAUAUACUGCAUCGUUCAGGUGCUCAGUAUUGCAUCAAAGAAGACACAAGCCUUUUCUUUUCCUCCUCCAGCUUUAUUUAUCAAGAGGAAAAAAAGUCAGCUGAAACUAUCUGGCAAAUCUGAUCCAGAUUAAAGUGUGUGUGUGGAACUAAAACCAGUACUUUCAGUAAUUACUACACUCAUCUAAAACAUUCACCCAGCUGAACACCACAGUGGUAUUCUUACAGCACACCUGUGCAGGCAGGAUGGUCGAGCUAAACUGGAAUUCAUUUUAUCUCUCCACAGCAGGUGAAAAAUAAAACUUUAAACCAGAAGGGAAUAAUACAGGUCUCUUGGCCUGCAUCAACUCUCGAUAACAGAUGACAAGCAGCUGCUCCUAUUGGGGUAAAAACUGCAGCCAGAGAUGAAGGAAAGAAUUUUUGUGUUCAUUGCCAUUGCAAAAGGUGGCAGGACAGUUCUGCAUCGUCUGGGUGAGCUGUGCUGUUGGGAGCCUUUCUGUCUCCCUGCUGUUUCCAGAUAUGGUCCUUUCUGUUGCAGUGCACCCUUAUGUGCAAGCCCAGACAGUUCCUUGCUCAGUGAUGGGCAGACCUGUGAUCUGGAAAGAGAGGGGCCCAAGCACUGGCUUCCCUUGUUUGUCCUCCAGGAAUCCAUCACUGCAAUCAAGCAAAGAGCUCAUGCAAAGAGCUCAUGCUAUGCCUGAAUUUCAUACCAGUGACAUAUUUGCCAGAAACCAUGGAUCAGGAUAGUCUCAGUUCCACUGCAUUGUGCCAGUUGUGGGGACAUAGACUAUUUUUUCAUAUACAAUCUAUAUAUUCUGUAUUUAUGAUCUAUCCAACUUCUUUGAGAGACUUUUGGUUGUGAAAAGGAGAUAGAAAAAUGCCAUCUCAAUCUUACCAAGCUAGGUAAAGUAUUCACAGAGCAUGUCCCAUUGCAAAGAUGAAAUUUGUCCUGACUUUCCUACAACAGAAAACCAAGCUCUUGCCUGUUACAACAGUCCUUUGAAAUUAACCUCGAUAGUUUCUAGGGAGUAGGGGCUGAUUUCAGCUUGCAGCUGUGGAUUCAAGUCUAUCAACCCAUAUAUGCCACGAAUGUUUUAAGCAAAUAAUUUAAUACAUUAUGUUGUUUAACAUCUAUGUCAAUCUGAAGAGUUAAAAAAUUAAUAUUCUGUGGUAUUACAUGUUCACUGGGCUGAUAAAAUUAUUUGCAGCAUGGAAUCUACUACAAAACCAUUGAAAAUGGAAGAGGCUGCACAAAACCAAGCUUUCAUAAUUUUUUGCAUAUCACUAUAUCCCUUUAAAAUAUUAAACAUUAACAUAACUAAAAGUAGUUGUAAAGUGUAUUAUUUCUAGACUGGAACACCGUUCCAGGACAAGCAGUACAGGAAUGAAGCCAGGAGAGUGGGCCUCCAAAAGAUGUUUUCCUAGGCAAAAAAGGGACAGUGAUAAAGCGUUCUCUGAUCUUCUGGAUGUGAUUAUAAAAAAAACAAUGAAGAGAGAUGACUUACUUUGUGGUGCAGCAGACACUGUGCUUCCACUGAUAAUGCAUGUGAGUCCACUGUGCAUAGAGCAGUUAUUAGUUUCACACAAGAAAUGAAAGAUGAUCUCAAUACAGACAGAGGUCUGCCAAAAAAAUGACAACAGGACAACUAUGUGGCAUGUAAUACCAGCUCUACUCACAAAUAAACACUUCAAAAGAGCAGAAUUACCUUAGGUAAGAGUUCUUUGUCUUUCCAGCGCAAAUGUACUGCAACCUUUGACAAAGAGAUGUUCUAAGAAAUCCUAUAUAAUUAGAACCAUUUAGGACUGAUUUAAUAAAGCAUGAAAAGGCAUCUCAUAGGAAAUCCAUUGACCCGUUUCACUGGUGCAAAUAGCUACACAUUAUUCUGUGUACAUCAUAUAUGCUCAGUGUUUUGGGAGGAAAACAAUGUAUGUAGAUAUAAAACUUAACUGGUAAUUCUGACUCUCAUAUUCUAAUUAAUUUCUUGUACACGCUUCUUCCUUAAAUAAGCCACAGACUAUAUCAGAUCACCCUUAUUAUUUUGCUAUUCAGUUCAUGUACCAUCAUGAUUUAAUGUAAGGUAACAGCAGAUCAAAAUCAAGGUUUCUCUUUCCAAGCCGCUGAUACAUAACAGAACCUGGCACAUCAACUGUCUUCCUUGGUUUUCCUCAAAUUCUAUCAUAUAACUACCGUAAGCAAUCCCUUUUCUCUCUGAAUCCAUAUGAAUUCAUAACAGUGCACUUCUAUAAUAAAGGUUUUUCUUCUAAAGAUUUGUUCUGCAGAACCCUUUUAAUUAAAGCAUGUCCAUAAAAGCUGGAAUAUGGGAGGCCAAUUUUUGUCGGAGCUGGUGCUGUGUGCUCUUGCAUAUGCUACACAUCUUGAAAGAAAAUUAUGGUGUCAAGACAAACAGAAAUAUCUUAUAACAGUUUGCUUUGUACUUUUAAUUUAUGCUUCUUUUUUUGAACAUGUUAAAUUUGAGUUUAUACGUAGGCUCAGCCCAGUACUUUUCUACCAAGUGUGUAAAGUGCUGCAGGGAGUGAUGUGCCUGUAAGCUAUAAUUUAGGGGCAGGUAGGAACUGCCUGAAAUACACGUAACUUCAUAAGUUAUUUCUAAAAUGCUAUUAUUACCUGAACCACCUCUGGUUUCAGAACUAAAUAUCCUUUCCUUCCCUCUGCACUGGGGUAGAAAGGUGGUGGGAGGGAAGUGAAGUUAUUUUUUAUUUCUGCGGCUGUGGAGUUGCUGUUGCUCCAGUGGCUGCAAGAGCCCACGCUAGCUGAGGGACACAGCUGGGCUGUUAAAGGCAGUGCUAGCUCUGGCAAAGCAAGGAUUCCCCAAACACAGAGCCAUCCUCAGACAGAUGGUGUUGGACUAUGGGCAAACAAUGAAGCUCGUAUGCAAAUACAAAAGGGCUACCUGCCUAUUAUAAACUUUUAAAAGUGAGGGGUGCAUAUUAACACAGUGCUCAGAUGUCAUAAUGAUGUCCAUUCGAAGCAUCUCGAUGCCCGAACCGAACAAUCAAUGUGAUCACACUAGUGUACGCAUUACAGUUUCUAAAUACAUCAAUU